This 484-nucleotide ribosomal RNA is filed under the name uncultured bacterium. Its description in RNAcentral is "partial 16S ribosomal RNA". It matches the Rfam family "Bacterial small subunit ribosomal RNA", at positions 29 to 507 of the family's 1533-position model. The record is from RNAcentral.
AUUGAACGCUGGCGGCAUGCUUUACACAUGCAAGUCGGACGGCAGCGCGGGCUUCGGCCUGGCGGCGAGUGGCGAACGGGUGAGUAAUACAUCGGAACGUGCCCAGUAGUGGGGGAUAGCUCGGCGAAAGCCGGAUUAAUACCGCAUACGACCUGAGGGUGAAAGCGGGGGAUCUUCGGACCUCGCGCUAUUUGAGCGGCCGAUGGCAGAUUAGCUAGUUGGUGGGGUAAAGGCCUACCAAGGCGACGAUCUGUAGCUGGUCUGAGAGGACGACCAGCCACACUGGGACUGAGACACGGCCCAGACUCCUACGGGAGGCAGCAGUGGGGAAUUUUGGACAAUGGGCGAAAGCCUGAUCCAGCAAUGCCGCGUGUGUGAUGAAGGCCUUCGGGUUGUAAAGCACUUUUGGCGGGAACGAAAAGGACUGUGCCAAUACCACGGUUCGAUGACGGUACCCGCAGAAUAAGCACCGGCUAACUACGUG